Molecule: small nuclear RNA, 330 nt
Filed under: Mus musculus (house mouse)
Lineage: Eukaryota; Metazoa; Chordata; Mammalia; Rodentia; Muridae
Description: 7SK RNA
Rfam family: 7SK RNA
About the family: 7SK was discovered as an abundant small nuclear RNA in the mid-70s but a possible function has only recently been suggested. Two independent studies have found that 7SK RNA binds the CDK9/cyclin T complex (known as elongation factor P-TEFb). P-TEFb activates transcription by phosphorylating the C-terminal domain of RNA polymerase II.
Source: Rfam by way of RNAcentral
GGAAGCAGGCUGAUCUGGCUGUCAAUGUCACCUACGGCACCUAUGGCCAGAGUUGAUACAGCUGCUCUGGCUGGCUAGGUGGGCAUUCUCUUCUUCCCUCAUCACACCACGAUUCUCACUGCUGAAGCUUCGUCCUCGCAGAAGAUGACGGUUUCCAGUAGUGAAACCGUUCUCUAGUCUAGUCUCUUGCUAGAACUUCCAAAGUAGUUCUUAGGAGCUAGCUAGGAUAUGCCAAACCCAGCAGCGCUGGUCAUGUAAACACACAGACAAAGCUAAGUAGUGUCCUAACACUACUAUCACAUGCCGGCAAAAUAUCAGGGGCUUCUCUCU